This is a ribosomal RNA of 437 nucleotides. It matches the Rfam family "Bacterial small subunit ribosomal RNA", at positions 341 to 792 of the family's 1533-position model.
ACGGAAGGCAGCAGUGGGGAAUAUUGGGCAAUGGACGAAAGUCUGACCCAGCGACGCCGCGUGAGGGAAGAAGGUCUUCGGAUUGUAAACCUUAGUCAACAGGGAAGAAGCAAGUGACGGUACCUGUGGAGGAAGCCACGGCUAACUACGUGCCAGCAGCCGCGGUAAUACGUAGGUGGCGAGCGUUAUCCGGAUUUACUGGGUGUAAAGGGUGUGUAGGCGGGGACGCAAGUCAGGUGUGAAAAUUAUGGGCUUAACUCAUAACCUGCACUUGAAACUGCGUUUCUUGAGAGUCGGAGAGGUAAAUGGAAUUCCCAGUGUAGCGGUGAAAUGCGUAGAUAUUGGGAGGAACACCAGUGGCGAAGGCGGCCUGCUGGACAGCAACUGACGCUAAGGCGCGAAAGCGUGGGGAGCAAACAGGAUUAGAUACCCUGGUA